RNAcentral lists this ribosomal RNA (279 nucleotides) under uncultured bacterium. RNAcentral describes it as "partial 16S ribosomal RNA". It matches the Rfam family "Archaeal small subunit ribosomal RNA", at positions 456 to 735 of the family's 1478-position model. The record is from RNAcentral.
UGCCAGCAGCCGCGGUAAAACCAGCACCUCAAGUGGUCAGGAUGAUUAUUGGGCCUAAAGCAUCCGUAGCCUGUUUUGUAAGUCUCCGGUUAAAUCCAUCAACUCAAGUGAUGGGCUGUCGGAGAUACUGCAAAACUAGGGAAUGGGAGAGGUAGACGGUACUCGGUAGGAAGGGGUAAAAUCCUUUGAUCUAUUGAUGACCACCUGUGGCGAAGGCGGUCUACCAGAACAUGUUCGACGGUGAGGGAUGAAAGCUGGGGGAGCAAACAGGAUUAGAUA